Long non-coding RNA from Ixodes scapularis (black-legged tick), 428 nucleotides. RefSeq lists it as uncharacterized. Lineage: Eukaryota; Metazoa; Arthropoda; Arachnida; Ixodida; Ixodidae. The transcript is spliced from 3 exons. The record is from RefSeq and is a predicted model, not a curated record.
AAACAGAGGCUAACAUUUGUUGUUUUUUCUUUCCAGAACGCCAAGUCGGUCUUAGCUAGAUGAUGUCAUGCGUGCCCUCCAAGCGGCAUACCCCUUCCUGGCCGACUCCACUGGACGCUGCAAGUUCAGCAAAACAAGGAAAACUAUGGCAAAGGUGGUGGGCGAAAGCGAAAGGAAAAACGCCAACGGAGUGACUGUAUUCAAAAAUACAAAAGGACCAUGGUUCCACAUCAUGACGUAGAAGGUACCGACAACUGUGCAGACCACGUAGAGAUUAUGGCUGCUGAAUGCUCCAAGGCUGCAACAGAUGUGAAGCUCUUACUUCAAAUAAUAGCAGAGACGUCACAGGCAAGGAGGGUAGACAUCGCUGGCAAGACCACCACUGAUGUUAUUUAGCUGUACCCGGCCCUCUGCAUUCCCGAAGUGGU